GACGAACGCUGGCGGCGUGCUUAACACAUGCAAGUCGAACGAUGAAGCCUUUUGGGGUGGAUUAGUGGCGAACGGGUGAGUAACACGUGGGCAAUCUGCCCUGUACUUUGGGAUAAGCCUUGGAAACGGGGUCUAAUACCGGAUAUGACUGGCCUUCGCAUGGGGUUGGGUUGAAGUUCUGGCGGUACAGGAUGAGCCCGGCCGGCCGUAUCAGCUUGUUGGUGGGGUAAGUGCCUACCAAGGCGACGACGGGUAGCCGGCCUGAGAGGGCGACCGGCCACACUGGGAC
Molecule: ribosomal RNA, 289 nt
Filed under: uncultured bacterium
Lineage: Bacteria
Description: partial 16S ribosomal RNA
Rfam family: Bacterial small subunit ribosomal RNA
Source: RNAcentral